GGGUAACGUCCUUCAGGCCGAUCGCUUACGUUAAAGGUUCAUGCCCGGGCAUGAACCUUUUUUUUGCGCUGA
This 72-nucleotide small RNA is filed under the name Pantoea ananatis. RNAcentral's name for it is "suhB". The record is from RNAcentral. Lineage: Bacteria; Pseudomonadati; Pseudomonadota; Gammaproteobacteria; Enterobacterales; Erwiniaceae.